GUACCCUCAAGCUUUGCUUGGUGUUGGGCGUUUUUGUCUUUGGCCCGCCAAAGACUCGCCUUAAAAUGAUUGGCAGCCGGCCUACUGGUUUCGCAGCGCAGCACAUUUUUGCGCUUGCAAUCAGCAAAAGAGGACGGCAAUCCAUCAAGACUCCUUCUCAC
RNAcentral lists this unclassified non-coding RNA (161 nucleotides) under uncultured Curvularia. RNAcentral's name for it is "sequence contains ITS2". Lineage: Eukaryota; Fungi; Ascomycota; Dothideomycetes; Pleosporales; Pleosporaceae. The record is from RNAcentral.